CAGUAGCCACGGUAAAACGAAGGGGGCUAGCGUUGCUCGGAAUGACUGGGCGUAAAGGGCGCGUAGGCGGUUUGUACAGUCAGAUGUGAAAUUCCUGGGCUCAACCUGGGGGCUGCGUUUGAUACUUGAUUGCUAGAGUGGGGAAGAGGGUCGUGGAAUUCCCAGUGUAGAGGUGAAAUUCGUAGAUAUUGGGAAGAACACCGGUGGCGAAGGCGGCGACCUGGUCCUUGACUGACGCUGAGGCGCGAAAGCGUGGGGAGCAAACAGGAUUAGAUACCCGCCGUAGUCCCUGUCUCUUAUU
RNAcentral lists this ribosomal RNA (301 nucleotides) under uncultured bacterium. RNAcentral describes it as "partial 16S ribosomal RNA". It matches the Rfam family "Bacterial small subunit ribosomal RNA", at positions 509 to 808 of the family's 1533-position model. The record is from RNAcentral.